GACGACGCUGGCGGCGUGGAUUAGGCAUGCAAGUCGAACGGUAUCAUCCUUCGGGGUGAGAGAGUGGCGAACUGGUGAGUAACACGUAGGUUAUCUACCUCGAAGACGGGGACAACCCAGGGAAACUUGGGCUAAUACCGGAUGUGAGCAACUUUUAGUUGUUUGAAAGGUGGCGUAAGCUGUCGCUUGGGGAUGAGCCUGCGUCCUAUUAGUUAGUUGGUGAGGUAACGGCUCACCUAGGCAAUGAUAGGUAGGCGGCCUUAACGGGUGGUCGCCCACACUGGGAUUGAGAUACGGCCCAGACUCCUACGGGAGGCAGCAGUCGAGAAUAGUCUACAAUGGUCGGAAGACUGAUAGUGCGACGCCGCGUGAACGAUGAAUCCCUUCGGGGUGUAAAGUUCUUUUAUAUGUGAGCAGUGCUUCUUAUAUUAACAGUAUGGGGAGAGAGAUAUUAGCAUAUGAAUAAGCAACGGCUAACUCCGUG
Molecule: ribosomal RNA, 484 nt
Filed under: uncultured bacterium
Lineage: Bacteria
Description: bacterial SSU rRNA
Rfam family: Bacterial small subunit ribosomal RNA
Source: RNAcentral